CCUACGGGAGGCAGCAGUGAGGAAUAUUCGGCAAUGGGCGGGAGCCUGAACCAGCCAAGUCGCGUGAGGGACGACGGUCCUAUGGAUUGUAAACCUCUUUUGUCGGGGAACAAAGGCGCCCACGGGUGGGCUUAUGAGUGUACCCGAAGAUAAAGCAUCGGCUAACUCCGGGCCAGCCGCCGCGGUAAUACGGAGGAUGCGAGCGUUAUCCGGAUUUAUUGGGUUUAAAGGGUGCGUAGGCGGACAGUCAAGUCAGCGGUAAAAAUGCGGUGCUCAACGCCGUACAGCCGUUGAAACUGGCAGUCUUGAGUGGGCGAGAAGUAUGCGGAAUGCGUGGUGUAGCGGUGAAAUGCAUAGAUAUCACGCAGAACUCCGAUUGCGAAGGCAGCAUACCGGCGCCCGACUGACGCUGAGGCACGAAAGCGUGGGUAUCGAACAGGAUUAGAUACCCGAGUAGUC
Molecule: ribosomal RNA, 459 nt
Filed under: uncultured bacterium
Lineage: Bacteria
Description: partial 16S ribosomal RNA
Rfam family: Bacterial small subunit ribosomal RNA
Source: RNAcentral